RNAcentral lists this ribosomal RNA (248 nucleotides) under uncultured bacterium. Its description in RNAcentral is "partial 16S ribosomal RNA". It matches the Rfam family "Bacterial small subunit ribosomal RNA", at positions 524 to 771 of the family's 1533-position model. The record is from RNAcentral.
UACAGAGGGUGCGAGCGUUAAUCGGAAUUACUGGGCGUAAAGCGUGCGUAGACGGUUUCGUAAGUCGGGGGUGAAAUCCCCGGGCUCAACCUGGGAAUUGCAUUCGAAACUGCGAGGCUAGGGUACGGAAGAGGGAAGCGGAAUUUCUGGUGUAGCGGUGAAAUGCGUAGAUAUCAGAAGGAACAUCAGUGGCGAAAGCGGCUUCCUGGUCCAGUACCGACGUUCAGGCACGAAAGCGUGGGGAGCAA